UAAAUAAAAAUACGUUUUUUAAGUUAAUAAAGCAUUAAAGGGAAACCUAAACAUUAAAAAAUAAGGGCGUAAAUUAUGAAAAGUUAUAAGGAAUAUUUUUUAAUAUUGAGAUUUAUAAAUUCCCGUAUAAUAGUAAACUAUUCUUUUUAUAUAAGAUUAUAUAAUAAUUAGCGAAUUGAAACAUCUUAGUAGCUAAUAAAAAAAUCAAUCGAGAGACUGUUAGUAGUGGCGAACGAAAAUAGUCUAUUUAGACUUUCAUAUUGCAUUUUAUAAUUUGAAACUACCAAAGAAGGUUGUAUAUAAUAUUAUUAUAAUUAAUAUUCUCAAGUCCUGUAAAAUAUUAAAAAUGUAUAAAUUAUUGAAUUAUUAAAAUUAGAUUUUAAUCUUGUUUAAAUAUUGGGGGACCACCCUCAAAGUCUAACAUAUUUUUAAUGCUUGAUAGUGAAAAAGUACUGUAAAGGAAUGGUGAAAUAGAAUUUGCGAAAUUGAAAAGAUAUUGAAAUUUAAUGCUGACAAUCAAUUGAAGCUUUUAUAAAGUUACAGUGUGCCUUUUGCAUAAUGAAUCAACGAAUUUAUUUUAGUGGCGAGCUUAAAUAGUUAUAUAUAUAGGCGUAAAGAAAUUAAGUUUAAACUUGCUAAAAAAGUCUCUAAAAUAAAACCCGAAACUAAGUGAUCUAAUCAUGAACAGGUUGAAUAUAUAGCGGUAACGCUUAUUGGAGGACCGAACUCGUGUAUGUAGAAAAAUACUGAGAUGAUUUGUGAUUAGGGGUGAAAGGCCAAUCAAACUUAGAGAUAGCUGGUUUUCUGCGAAAUCUAUUUAAGUAGAGCAUAUAAAAACUUAUUUGUGAGGUAGAGCACUUGUUAAAUAAAGGGGACGUAAAGUUUUACUGAAUUUAAUUAAACUCCGAAUACAUAAAUUAAUUUGUUUUAUAUAGACAGACUAUGAGUGCUAAGAUUCAUAGUCAAAAGGGAAACAGCCCAGAUUAUUAGUUAAGGUCCUAAAAAAUAUUUUAAGUGAAAAAAUAUUAAAAAAAUAAUGUAUACUAAUAGGUAAGCUUGGAAGCAGCUAUCCUUUUAAGAAAGCGUAAUAGCUCAUUAGUUAAAUUUUUUUAAUUUGAAAAUGUAUAGGGACUAAAAAUAUUUACCGAAACUAUAAAUUAUAAUUUCUUAAAAAUUAUAAUGGUAGCAGAACGUUCUGUAUGUUAGUGAAAAUUUAUAUUAAUAUAAAUUAGAAAUAUCAGAAUUGAUUAUGUUGAUAUGAGUAACGAAAACAAUGUUUAAAACAUUGUCAUCUUAUGUUUAAGGUUUGUAAAGAAAAGAUAAUCUUCUUUAUAUAGUUUAAAUCGGUCCCUAAGAGUUAUGUGUUAAUUUAUUUAAACGAAUGUCAUUCUUAAUGGGUAAAUAAAUUUUUUAUGUUAUUUUAUAUACGUGACAAACUUUUCCUAUUAUUAAUAAUUAUUUUUGGAUUAUUAAGAAUUAUUAGUAAUUUAUAAGUUUCAAGAAAAAGCGUAUAAUUAUUUUAAAACCGUACUUUAAACCGACACAGGUAAACAAAUUGAGAAAAUUAAGAUGUUUGAGUUAAUUGUAUUGAAGGAACUCGGCAAAAUUACUCCGUAACUUAGGGAUAAGGAGUGACUUAAAUUAGGUAACUAAUUUAUAGUUGUCACAAAAUCGAGAACAGCGACUGUUUAACAAAAACACAGGUCUCUGCUAAUUUGUAAAAAGAUGUAUAGAGACUGACGCCUGCCCGGUGCUGUAAGAGUAAAUUAUAAAAGUUUUAGCUUUUAUUCUAAUUCACAGUAAACGGCGGCUGUAAUUCUGACGGUCCAAAGGUAGCGAAAUUCCUUGGCAUUUGAUUGAUGUCCUGCAUGAAUGGCGUAACGACUGUUCUACUGUCUCCAAUACAAGCUCAGUGAAAUUGAAUUCUUCGUGAAGAUGCGAAGUUCUUAUGGCUAGACGGAAAGACCCCGUGCACCUUUACUAUAAUCAUACAUUAUAUUAAUAAUUUAUAUAUGCAGAAUAAGUGGUAAGUUUAUUAAAACUUUUACUAAAGUAUAUCGUUUAUAGACGUCAAUUGAGAUACCACUUUUAAAAAUUAUUUAAUAUUUAUUCUAUGUAAGACAUUGUAUGAUGGGUAGUUUGACUGGGGCGGUCGCCUCCUAAAAAGUAUCGGAGGCGUACUUAAGGUGAGUUUAUUUUAUAAAAAAUUAUAAAAUUAAAGCGUAAUAGUAUAUUGCUUGCUUGACUGUAAGAUUUACUAAUCAAACAGGGACGAAAGUCGGUUAUAGUGAUCCGAUGAUUUUGUGUGGAAUAGUCAUCGCUCAACGGAUAAAAGGUACGCCGGGGAUAACAGGCUAAUCACCCUCUAGAGACCCUAUCGACGGGGUGGUUUGGCACCUCGAUGUUGGAUUAUCACAUCCUGAAACUGAAAAAGGUUUCAAGGGUUUGACUGUUCGUCAAGUAACGUGGUACAUGAUCUGAGUUCAGAACGUCGUGAGACAGUUUGGUCCCUAUCUACCAUAAGCUUUGGAAAAUUGAAAAAAUUAAACUCUAGUACGAGAGGACCGAGAAUAGUAAACCUAUGGUGUAUCGAUUGUUUUACCAAAAGCAUAGUCGAGUAGCUAAGUUUAUAAUAGAUAAUUACUAAUAUGUAAGAAGCUAAUUUUAAGAUAAUUUUCUAAAAAACGUAACAGAACAUUACGAGAUAGGUUUGAAGUGUAAGAUUUGUAAAAGUUUUAGCUAACAAAUACUAAAAAAUCGAACUUAAAAACAAAGUUUUUAAUAAAUA
RNAcentral lists this ribosomal RNA (2788 nucleotides) under Sundstroemia setigera. RNAcentral describes it as "Rhizosolenia setigera large subunit ribosomal RNA". It matches the Rfam family "Bacterial large subunit ribosomal RNA". Lineage: Eukaryota; Bacillariophyta; Coscinodiscophyceae; Rhizosoleniales; Rhizosoleniaceae. The record is from RNAcentral.